UACAGAGGGGGCAAACGUUGCUCGGAAUUAUUGGGCGUAAAGCGCACGUAGGCGGCUUAGUAAGUUGGAUGUGAAAUCCCUCGGCUUAACCAAGGAAGUGCAUCCAAAACUACUGAGCUUGAGUACUAAAGAGGAUCGCGGAAUUCCCGGUGUAGAGGUGAAAUUCGUAGAUAUCGGGAGGAACACCAGUGGCGAAGGCGGCGAUCUGGGUAGAUACUGACGCUGAGGUGCGAAAGCGUGGGGAGCAAACAGG
This 253-nucleotide ribosomal RNA is filed under the name uncultured bacterium. RNAcentral describes it as "partial 16S ribosomal RNA". It matches the Rfam family "Bacterial small subunit ribosomal RNA", at positions 524 to 776 of the family's 1533-position model. The record is from RNAcentral.